This 254-nucleotide ribosomal RNA is filed under the name uncultured bacterium. RNAcentral describes it as "partial 16S ribosomal RNA". It matches the Rfam family "Bacterial small subunit ribosomal RNA", at positions 524 to 776 of the family's 1533-position model. The record is from RNAcentral.
UACGAAGGGGGCUAGCGUUGCUCGGAAUCACUGGGCGUAAAGGGUGCGUAGGCGGGUCUUUAAGUCACUUGUGAAAUCCCGGGGCUCAACUCCGGGGCUGCAGGUGGAUACUGUCGGGCUCGAGUCCGGAAGAGGAGUGUGGAAUUCCUGGUGUAGCGGUGAAAUGCGCAGAUAUCAGGAGGAACACCAAUGGCGAAGGCAGCACUCUGGGACGUGACUGACGCUGAGACGCGAAAGCGUGGGGAGCAAACAGG